GCGGCAGUGGCAGUGGCAGCGGCAGCCUCAGCCUCGCGCUGUCUCACGCGCACACACAGAGUCAGAGGGGGAAGCUCGAUGAGACCGGUGUCCGUUCGCAGUGCAACGGCGCCGAAAAUGGCGAAACGGCCUUUCGAAGAGCCCUGACAGUAAGUGUAAAAGCAGACCAAAGGAAGAGACCAAAUUAGCGAGACACUGACUCAGUGUCAGCGGAGUCUUGACCGUUUCCACCGAACACAACGACGACAAGAGCGACGCGAACUUUCCGCCGGGCGCUAAUAGCGCGUUAGCUACUCUACUGCUGGGCACCGUUCGCUUUACUUCACACUUCACUCUGUCUGUGCACGUAGGAAGAAGAGUAGAAAGAAGAAAGCCAUGUUAAAUAUUUGUCGUUACUUGUCGUUAUUGCGCCGACCCCUCUGUCCAACACGGCUUAAAUGUCACAAGCAAACUAAAAGGCUUUCGAAGAAUUUUUUGCACACAGAAAAAAUAACUUGUUUUAUACGACACGAUUUGACUGAGCGCCUCUGUGACGUCACUGGAAAGUUUCUAUAAAAUGAAUUUAUAAUCAGGUGCCGUGUCCAGUAGGCUUUUUCGGAGAUGAUCUGGCGAUUCAGCACUUCUUCCUCUCUGUGUCCGAAGAUGGCAGAUAAGCGGAAAGCUGAACGAAGCUGAAAAGUAGGGAGCAGAUUUCGAACGUCAUGGACGUCUUUGUAGACUGUGGUCUCGGUCUUCGCCGCUCAGCCUGGACGGUUUUUUCGCAGAACGGAUUCUACACUGCAGACCGCUGCAAGAGCUCACCGUCACUGUCCCACCAUUCUUUAUCUAGAUGCCUGUAAGAGGGAGUUUUUGUUGAGAAUUGCUGACAUUUCAGCCAGGGGAAGUUUGACAUGUGGAGCCUUUAAGAGAUGCUCCUUCACACAGCAGGACUCUAUUUCAGUUGGAACUUUGCACACGUGCUGCUUUCUUUUUAUUUCUACACACAGAAUGCCUAACAAACAGUCUAAAAAGGGACACGCUGACCGCAGUGGGAUUGACCAAGGCUCUCGUGCCUGCUCUCCGCUUCGUCCAAGGUCCGGACACACUGUUCGGUCCAGACAGACGCAGCUCCUGAGCUUACGAGAUCUUCCAGGGAGGAGGGUCCUCCUUUCCCCCCCACCCCCCAGGGGAGCUGAAAGAGGCCGGGGGACGUGCGAUUGAGAACAGAGGGCCGGUGAACUGGUUCCUGUGAGAGGAAAGUGCUGUUUGAUAUCUUGGGGCGCCCAAAAACACCGCUACACUUAUUACUUCCUGCGGGAGAGCAGCAUUUACACUUGUAGUAGUAACUGAGUAAACAUCCAAAGUCACCCCUUCCUCCCUGAGCUCACACACACACACACACGCGCAUUCGUGCGCAGAUACUCUGUACUUUGAAUAAAAAUAUUACAAAUAAAUGAAUAAAUGUCUUUCAAAUAAGCGUAUUUGUUAGAACUGCCACGCACUGCAUAAAGGACGCAGAUUUGAAUGCCCGCUACUGCUGUAGUACCCUAGUACCCUUGGUCAUGGUACUUAGCCUCAUACAGUAAAAAUGACAACUGUGUAAAUGGGUUAAUUAGUGUAAGUUGUUCAACACUAUGUUGUCAUCUAAAAAAAUAACUGGGCAUGUACAGAACCCCGGUGAAUCUCAGGACAAACGAUUUUCAUUGUAGGCCUGGCACACGGUGAGGGUCCAGGACUCAUGUGACAAUAGUGUACUCACUGCACUCACUGGAGUGCCCAAGUACCAGUUUGCUGGACUUCAAAGUUCUGAUGAACCUGUGCCGAGACCACACAACCCAUGGGAUUGUGUCCUGAUAUAUCAAGAGUGUCCAGCUGCCUAGGAACUGCUUCCAGAUGUAGGUCCUUCUCAGGCUCUCCUGCUUCCUGUGGAAUGGCAACAGCAGCAUCGUGCCAGACCUGUACGCAGUGGGGUCAGAUUUACAUACUAGGGUGGAUUUUUAAAAAGGGACAGGUGUUGUUUUUCUUUUCAAGGUCCAGCGUUGAGUGUCAUGAUGUGAGUGCUGGCAGCGCUCAAGUGUUCUCAGUUACAGCUGAAAAGACGCAGCCACAAGUGUUCGGCCUUCUUGGAAGUAAACUUUGUUUACAUGACAGCUGACUAACUGUGGAGAAAUGGCACGGAUCACUUGGCACCAGACCCACACAGUCCCGAUGAUGAGAAAGGGACCGAGACUCAUCUGCAGCAGGUUUGUGUUCUGGGUCACAAGUUCCAUUCUCCAGCUGUCAGUGUCGGGAAAGUGGGCUGGACAGGGUCCCGCUGACACGCUCAGUGUGCGCUGGGGUGACCACGACUUCCACGGCCUCCAGAGAUGACAGCCGUGCAGCAGCGGGGAGGGAAAGGAAUUACACCUCCCGGAUGAUUUACGUUUCUGUCACUCACAUGCACAUGCAUGCAGGCAACGCGACUCUGGAAAAUGAAGAAGUUGCUUUGCUUGUGCCGCUAAUCUACUUUUCUCGGCCGAAGGACAUGGGACGCGGUUCCCGGCUCUGGUCAGCUAUGUCAGCUGGAACCUGGCCAUUCGUUCUGACAGUAAGCCUGUGAACUGGCUCUCGAACCAGGCACCGCAGCAUUCCUCCUGUAAUCACUGAUCAAAUGGAUCUGCUGCACUACAUACGUUACGGUUCAGGGACACCUAACCUUCGAGACAAGCAAAAUGCCCCGGACGUUCAUUCUCAACGCCUGUUGGUGUUCGCACCCGAGUUUAUCCUGUACAAUUCAAUGGUUUUUUUAAACUGUUUUUUGCUCUUUACAUAAAUACAUUUUAAAUGUUGCAAAUAAUUCUACAAACAUUUUCCUGAAUGAUAAUGUUUACAGUGCACAGUGUUUAGAUGUUCAUACGUCUAAACAGUUGUUAAAAAGAAUUUUGGCAUUGAGAUUUGAUGGAUCACAAACUGAUUAUUUUGUGCAUAUUCACAGAAGAGAUCUACUGAGGGUUUAUGGAAAUUUCAAACAUUUUCAUGCAGUCACUGUUAAGUAUUAUUAUGAAGGUGCCCAAGCUUUAACUGACGAAUAUUUCACAAUUUCAUACAGCUGGAUAUUCAAGUCACAGUCAAACAAUAUUACACUGCCCUUAGUACUAGUUUCUUUAAUAUAAAUACCAUAAAUACUCCAAACCGUAAUAUUUAAAUCAGUUGAUGAAGCCACACACUGUGCUACAAGGCGGAUCAUAAUUCUAAAAAAAAAAAAAAUCCUUCAAUUUUAGGGUGUCUGACAGUCAUAUUUCAGACAAGCCAUAUUUCUCUGUAGCCUCUCCUGCACUUGGAAAAUGUUAACUUUGCUCUGCAAGUUAAACAGCAAAGGAUGUUCCCUGUUUAAACCCACAAGACAUAUACAAUCAAUUUAAUGUAAAGGGGUUUUAUGCACUUUGCCUCUGAUGGAGAAAAACAGAUUUUUAGUGUAUUCUCUUCCCUGGAAAACAUAACAUGAAGCAGACAGGGGUAAUGAAUGUAAACACUUAAUGGAUCAUUGACUGUCACAAGUGCUCAUGUAGGUCUCUUCUAAACUGAUGUGGGGCAUUCCGAAAACAAAACAAACUGCAUGCCAUUGUUUUGUCCUGCUUUCAUCCUACAGACGCUCCAAAAUUAUUUAUACUCGCCCGUUGCAAAAAAGAUCCCAAAGCCCCAGCUCAUGGAGGAAGACACACCGCUGAGAUGAAAAAUGGUGGUGUGGUGUGUGACUCCUCCCUUUUCCCAGUGGCACUGACUUUUUGACCAAGCCUUUUUCUGAGAAUGUAUUUGUGUUCAGAAUUAAUGGUUCAGAGGUACAGGAAAUACCAAAUAUCAGAUGGCGGUGCAAAAAAAAAAAAAAAAAUCAUUCUUGUGUCAAUACCAUAAUGGAAGGCAAUAUGUUUGAGGCUAUUGGAUAAAACGGUUUUGUAGUAAGAGGACAAAAAAAAAAAAAAACAUGUAGUUAACGGAGACUCCUUUUAUUCCAUGUAACUGGAAAUGAUCUUAGGCUGCAGCAGAAAUGAGAGAGUAAAAAUUUACUAAAGAGCCCACAGAGGUUGGAAUCCAAACACAUAGGCAGCACUGAGACUUGGAUAAACCUGCAUUUUACUGCGGUGUGAGUCCGAAAUGUUGUCGCUCUCUCCCAAGACGGUGUGUCAGAUGUGUCCAGUGGGAUGAGGAAUGUCAGGCGUGUAACUGAUACCACAAACCAAACAGAGCGUUGCAUCAUUCAAUCCAGGCCAGAACAUGGGGGGUGGGGUGACGGUAGCUUCGCUCUGUCCCGUUUCCCAUGUCCUCGCCCAGCAUGGGCGCUGGGGCAACUGGCCACAUCGUUCCAUUACAUGCGUCUAUAACAUUUUUGUCACAUCGAAUACUCAAGUAAAUCCAACUAGAAGGAGAAGACCGACGAUGUAUUUACAGCGUUUAUACUGUUCCUGCCUUUGUAGUCACUUGACAUUUGUAUCAAGAUUGUAUGUGAUUGUAUUGAACUACUACUAUUAUAGUGUAAAGUGUACUUUUAUACUACUAUUUAUACUCGUAUUUGUAUACUUUGUAAAUAUGUAUUUAUUUAUUGUGUAA
Long non-coding RNA from Scleropages formosus (Asian bonytongue), 4563 nucleotides. RefSeq lists it as uncharacterized. The record is from RefSeq and is a predicted model, not a curated record. The transcript is spliced from 7 exons. Lineage: Eukaryota; Metazoa; Chordata; Actinopteri; Osteoglossiformes; Osteoglossidae.